AUUACUUGAGUUAUUUGUUUAUUGCUUACUAAAUACAAAGGAAAAUGAGCAACUUGGAUCAUCUUUAUAAUCUUAAGAAGGGAACUCCAAGUGGUUUUAUUUCUCUUCCCUCAUCUUUACAUGUUUACGAUCUAGCCAUUCUCUUCUUCUCUCCACUCUAACUCAAGCCAAACUUUUGUGCAAACAUUAACAUUGUUUUCAAAACUAGAAACCUAAGCACUAAGCCUUUGAUUUUUUUUUAACUCUUUUCAUAACACUUAUUUUGAAUUGAAUCUUAAGUCAACUUUGACCUUACUUUGUGAAUACUUUUCAUUUGUAAAUACAACUCACUCAAUUGUUUUUGUGGUUCCAAUGACCAUGUGUGUUAAAAGCUUUUCAUAAACAUUAGCUAUUAGGUUUGAGUUACCCUAGAGGUUGAUAUAAUACUCAUCUGUAUCCUUAGUGAUGGACUAUAAGUCUUCCAUGCUUAUUAUAGGGUUAACCCCUCACUAGCAUGUUGAAGCUCUCCUCACAUGGUGGAUUUGUGGUUCUAGGUUGAGUUUUCUCCCUUUGAUAACAUAUUAUAGGGUUAACCCCUCACUAGCAUGUUGAAGCUCUCCUCACAUGGUGGAUUUGUGGUUCUAGGUUGAGUUUUCUCCCUUUGAUAACAAAAGACCUUAAGGCUUUUGACCAAUCAACUCACCAACUUCUUUUGAGAUUUUUACCCCGAACUACGAGGUUUUGAUCCUACUUUUUUUGAGAUGGUACGUAGGUAAUGGGUUUAUCCAUUCAAACACCAAUUGUAAAUAAUUUGUAUAUUCUCUUCUCAUCUCCCCAAUCAUGUUUUCACAAAUACCAACCUACCUUACAACAUUUGUAAAAAGGGCUCCCUUAGAGUACUAAGGAUGUUUUGGGUGCUUAAAACCUUCCCAUUGCAUAACCAACCCCCUUACCGAGAUCUCUGACAUUUUUAUUAGUUUUUGACUUGAUAAAACUUCUCUGUUUUUGUUCGCUUUCUAACCUUUCCUUUGGAUAAAUAGAAGUACGGUGGCGACUCGAAUUCUAUGAUUUACUUUUGAUUUAGUCAAUAAGUCUAAAGGUAACGAAAACCCCGCUACAGAAAAGUGGCGACUCUGCUGGGGAACGAACCCAGAAUCUCUGGUUUCGCAAAAUUUGUGGCAAGUCCCGCACGAAACUGAUAUCUCAUGUCAAGACAACACUCGUGACAACUUGUGAUAACUCUAGAUUUAACCAAAAUUGAUGACAACACAUAGAACCAACCCAUUCUAUAACUGAGAUAAUUUCUCACUCGCUUCUGAGGUAAAAUAAUGUAAAAUAAUGAGAAUUUGAUUACAAGAAGAAUAUAUUUUUAUGAUAGACAAGUUUUAUGUGAUUUAUUUUUUAGAUGUGCUGAAGAGACAAACACAACACAAUGAUGUACCGAGAAGUUACAUAAUAAUUAUUAUAAUUUUAAGAUUUAUUUUACAAAUCUAUAAGGGCCAACAAUUAAAAAUUAAUAAAAGGUAAGGACGCACUUUUAUUUAUAAAUUAUAAAGUUACAAAAUAAUUUAUUAAAAAUAACGAGGAGAAAUAUGGUAGAAAUAAUAAAGUUUGCUUAUAUUGUGAUUAUAUUAUUCUUUCUAUUUCUUAUUGGAACGAAAAUUGAAGGUAAGUUUUAUUUAUUUAUUUUAAAUUUUCUUUUCUAUUUCAUACGUUGUAUUUUAUCUCAUUUUAAUAACCUUAUUGUUUGUUUUUUAGUGCACCAGAUAAAUUCAAAUGUUUUGAUUAUUGAGAUUGUAAAAUCAGAAUUCAUUGUUUGCCUCCUUUUAAAAAGAAAAUGCAUAAACAAAAUUUAUUGUAAAUAUAUACUAGCGCAUGAAUUGUUUAAUCCGAUAAGAUAAACAAAUACCUUUAUGAGUUUACAAAUUUAUUUUUUAAUUGAGAGAACACACAAAUACCUAAUAUAUUUUAUUUUAUGUAUUGUCAUAUGUCAUUUGGAUAUUGUAUUGUUACCCCCAACAAGAUAAUAUUUUUGUAAUUUUAUUUCAAGAAUCUAAUAGUUGGGGAUUUAUACACUAGUAUGAUUGAAAUGAAAUCAAAUAAGACAACAAAUAAUAAUAUUUUUACUAUCAUUUCCUUUUUAAUUUUAGAAAAAACUAAUAAUAUUUUGAUUGUCUUUUUCCCUUUUAAGGAUGCACUUUUAUUUAUAUCCUAUAAAGGUACAAAAUAAUUUACUAAAAAUGACGAGGAGAAAUAUGGUAGAAAUAAUAAAUUUUUCUUAUGUUAUGAUUAUAUUAUUCUUUCUAUUUGAAAAUUGAAGAUAAGUUUUAUUCAUUCAUUUGAAUUUUUCUUUUUUAUUUCAUAUGUUGUAUUUUUUAAUCAUUUUAAUAAGUUUAUUUUGUGUUUUUUAUUACAGCGGAUAGAUACAAAUGUUUUGAUGAUUCAGAUUGUAAAAAUAGAAUUUAUUGUCAGCCUCCUUUAAAAAGGAAAUGCAUAAACAAGAAUUAUUGUAAAUGUGUACUAGCGCGUGAAUUGCUUAAUCCCAGAAGAUAAAUAAAUACCUUUAUGAGUUUACAAUUUUAGUUUUUAAUUGAAAGACUCAAGAGAACACACAAACACCAUAUAUUUUGUGUUGUCAUAUGUCAUUUGGAUAUUGUAUUGUUACUCCAACAAUUUGAUUUUUUUUAUUUUAUUUCAAGAAUUUAAUAGUUGUGGAUUUAUAUACUAGUAUGAUUAUAGUGAAAUGAAAUUAGACAAAAAAUAAUAAUAUUUUUAUUGUUUUUUCCUUUUUAAUUUAAAAAAUAUAUUUUUUGAUUGUCUUUUUCCCUUUUAAUUUUAGAGAAAUAUUCAUGACCUUCAUUUAUGCAUAUCACAUUUUCUUUUUAAUCCUGUCACCUCUCUAUAUACUUAAAAAUUAAAUUCAAAAUAAUUCAAAAUUUACUUAUAAUUUUAUAAUUCUAUAUUUAUAUAAUAAUAUUGUAAAACAGGUGAUCUUUCUCUUUAUCAAUUUAUAUUUCUCUUAUUUUUAUAAUAGUUACGGUGGCCUUGUUCAAUUUUAAAAGAUCUGAACCAAUAAAAUUUCAAUACACGUAUAAUAACCUUUGAAAAAACUACGGAGAUAUAAUUAAUUGUUUACUUUUAUAAUAACCUUUGGAAAAACUUAUGGAGAUUAUAAUUAAGUGUUUACUUUUGUAUCUUGUAAGAGCAUAACAUUGAUAUUUUAGUAGAUUUUGUUUCACUUAUGAUCUUUGUAUUUUAUUCAUUCAAGACUUGUUAGUUCUUCUAUUAAUAAUUUUAUUUCUUCGUGUCAUAAAGUUUUUUAUCCAAACUUUACAUGAGUCUCAAAUAGAGGUUACAUGUUAGUCAAGAAAUUAUGCGAAAAGGAUGUGACCCUAGAACCUAUUCAAAAAUGGAGAGAGUUAAUAUGCUCAUUGCGGGCGAGUCGUCUACUCCCUAUUAUUAUUUUUACUUGCCUGUUAUCCUUAUCCACGAGUUGGAGACUCUGGUCCCUUUUACCUCUUUUGAGGCAGACUUUCUGGUGAUUAUUUACAUCGCCCCUUCCCAGAUUACCCCAAGGUAUGGAGCAUUCUUAUGGUUUUUGAUCGCGACUUAGUAAGUCUAUGUGAAUCGUGACUGCAAGUGCACAGUCCUAUCGCGUAGUUUUAAAGAUUAUUGAAUCCAUAAGGACUAAUAAUCGAACAUAUCAUUAUCUAAUGUUGUUAUGUAAAUCUAAGGCUGAUGAUUGUUCUAAGAUUGGAGGGAUGAAGAGAAAUAACUAUAACGUAAAUAGAAUAAAGAUAUGAGAUAUAGGGGAUAUUGGUAUGUAAUACAUCAAACUUCAGGGAUUCAAUAGAUAGUUGGUGAAAUCUUAUUGGUGAAAUCUUAUUGGUUAAAAUAUUCUUCAGUUGAAAUUAUUUAAAGAAAGGACUUAGUCUCA
RNAcentral lists this long non-coding RNA (3916 nucleotides) under Lathyrus oleraceus (garden pea). RNAcentral's name for it is "Pisum sativum (pea) long non-coding RNA (PSAT_LNC035093)". Lineage: Eukaryota; Viridiplantae; Streptophyta; Magnoliopsida; Fabales; Fabaceae. The record is from RNAcentral.